CCAAGCGCGGGUAAACGGCGGG
RNAcentral lists this small nuclear RNA (22 nucleotides) under Arabidopsis thaliana (thale cress). RNAcentral describes it as "snRNA_09869". The record is from RNAcentral. Lineage: Eukaryota; Viridiplantae; Streptophyta; Magnoliopsida; Brassicales; Brassicaceae.